GAUGAACGCUGGCGGCGUGCCUAAUACAUGCAAGUCGAGCGAACGGACGAGAAGCUUGCUUCUCUGAUGUUAGCGGCGGACGGGUGGGUAACACGUGGAUAACCUACCUAUAAGACUGGGAUAACUUCGGGAAACCGGAGCUAAUACCGGAUAAUAUUUUGAACCGCAUGGUUCAAAAGUGAAAGACGGUCUUGCUGUCACUUAUAGAUGGAUCCGCGCUGCAUUAGCUAGUUGGUAAGGUAACGGCUUACCAAGGCAACGAUGCAUAGCCGACCUGAGAGGGUGAUCGGCCACACUGGAACUGAGACACGGUCCAGACUCCUACGGGAGGCAGCAGUAGGGAAUCUUCCGCAAUGGGCGAAAGCCUGACGGAGCAACGCCGCGUGAGUGAUGAAGGUCUUCGGAUCGUAAAACUCUGUUAUUAGGGAAGAACAUAUGUGUAAGUAACUGUGCACAUCUUGACGGUACCUAAUCAGAAAGCCACGGCUAGCUACGUG
This 497-nucleotide ribosomal RNA is filed under the name uncultured bacterium. Its description in RNAcentral is "partial 16S ribosomal RNA". It matches the Rfam family "Bacterial small subunit ribosomal RNA", at positions 28 to 507 of the family's 1533-position model. The record is from RNAcentral.